GACGAACGCUGGCGGCGUGCCUAAUACAUGCAAGUUGAGCGCUGAAGGUUGGUACUUGUACCAACUGGAUGAGCAGCGAACGGGUGAGUAACGCGUGGGGAAUCUGCCUUUGAGCGGGGGACAACAUUUGGAAACGAAUGCUAAUACCGCAUAAAAUCUUUAAACACAAGUUUUAAGUUUGAAAGAUGCAAUUGCAUCACUCAAAGAUGAUCCCGCGUUGUAUUAGCUAGUUGGUGAGGUAAAGGCUCACCAAGGCGAUGAUACAUAGCCGACCUGAGAGGGGGAUCGGCCACAUUGGGACUGAGACACGGCCCAAACUCCUACGGGAGGCAGCAGUAGGGAAUCUUCGGCAAUGGACGAAAGUCUGACCGAGCAACGCCGCGUGAGUGAAGAAGGUUUUCGGGUCGUAAAACUCUGUUGGUAGAGAAGAACGUUGGUGAGAGUGGAAAGCUCAUCAAGUGACGGUAACUACCCAGAAAGGGACGGCUAACUACGUG
This 497-nucleotide ribosomal RNA is filed under the name uncultured bacterium. RNAcentral's name for it is "partial 16S ribosomal RNA". It matches the Rfam family "Bacterial small subunit ribosomal RNA", at positions 28 to 507 of the family's 1533-position model. The record is from RNAcentral.